This is an RNA transcript of Dunckerocampus dactyliophorus (ringed pipefish), 2500 nucleotides long. It is a transcript of the gene named adenylate kinase 7-like, with no coding region annotated. The record is from RefSeq and is a predicted model, not a curated record. NCBI's taxonomy places the organism in Eukaryota, Metazoa, Chordata, Actinopteri, Syngnathiformes, Syngnathidae. The transcript is spliced from 18 exons.
AUGGGUGACAAAAAGCGUCCCAGGCGUGUUUUUAUGCAAGGCGUUGACAAAUAUUCAUCCAAAUACAUCGCUGAGGUGAAGUACAAGCGUGGUGUAAUGUUUAUGAUAGCUCGUCGUGUAAUUCAUGAACUUUUUGAAAUUGUACAGUAUUUAUCGACGUGCGGAGAGAGAGUCGAAGAGGCAGAAGAAGAGGACGACGAUUACAACCUCCCGCAAUCUGAAGAACCUGCAUUCCAGGUGGUCGGCUCUGUGUCUACCCCCUGCAGCGAGAAAGCAAACUUUUUGUUGGAGCAAUACUCGUCGCUAAGCAGAGAGGAGCUUCUUCCACGCCUCCUAGACUGCGACGUGGUGGUGUACAACAUCUCAGAGAAUGCAACACUAAAUGACAUUGAAGAGGCAACUUGGGCAAUCACAGCCCUUCAUGGUGAAAGGGAACAUUUCAAGUCGAAGAAAAUGUUCAUUUUAGUCUCAACGAUAAUGACGUGGGCCAUGACCAAACCACCGAAUACGGAAGAACCAGAUUUGAUGGUGGCAGAGGAGGAGUUCAGAAAAAGACGGCCUCAUCCCAGUUUCAAACACCACAACAAUAUGGAGAAACAUGUGCUUAAACUGGGAACAGGAAAAAAAAACAAGUUGAAGGGUUACGUUGUGGCUGCUGGUCUUCAAUAUGGGAAGGGGGAGAAUCUCUUUCACUACUUUUUCAAGGUGUCUUGGCUCUCAGAGUGUUCACAAGUUCCCAUAUUUGGAGAGGGCACAAAUUUCAUCCCCACUAUCCACGUGGUUGACCUUGCUCAGGUGAUACAAAAUUUAAUUGAGGUCAAACCCAAGUCCAAAUACAUCCUUGCUAUUGAUGACUCCAAGAACGUACUGGAGGACAUUGUAAAGGUCAUAAGUGAUGUGCUCGGGCCAGGAAGCGUAAACAAAGUGCCAGAGAAGGAAGCCAUCACCAUGAAGGCCUAUAAGCCAGAAGAACUUGAGUAUUUCAGCGUUAACCUUCGCCUGGAUGCUUAUAUUGUAAAAGACUUAUUCAGCUUCCCCUGGGUAGCAGAAGGUGGCAUGAUUGAAAAUAUAGACCUCCUUGUGGAAGAGUACCGAAACACUAGGAAACUACUUCCGAUCAGAAUCUGCCUUACUGGACCUCCCGCCGUGGGUAAAAGUACGGUCGCAGAAAAGCUGUGUGAGCAUUACCGGAUACAUCACAUCAAAAUCCGAGAGGUCAUUGAAGAAAAGAUGAAAGAGCUGGAAGGUAUCAUGAACAACAGUGAACUUGAUGUCAGCGAAGCAGAAAUGGCACAGAGCCAACUGGAAAAUCUGAAAACAAGCAUGGAAAGCAAUGCAGGACGACUGGAGGAUGAUCAACUUUUAGAAGUUUUGACAGAAAAGCUGAAUUCCAAGCCAUGUAGGAACCAAGGAUUUGUUUUCUAUGGUUUCCCGAGGACCUUCGAGCAAGCUGAGAUGAUGUUUAGUGCUGAGGAUACAGACAGCGACGCGCCCAGCAAAACACCCGCGCACAACAGCAUCACUCCAGAGUUUGUGUUUGCCCUGGAAGCAUCAGAUGAGUUCCUGACUAAAAAAGUACAAGGUCUUCCUCAGAGUGUGGCCGAGGAAAGAGGCCUCACCCAGGAUGAGUUUAUUCCUCGUCUGUCCAGAUUCAGACAACUGAUCAGGGCUGGGGAAACUUCUCUCGACUACUUUGAUGAGUUGGAAAUAUACCCAUCUUAUAUAGAGGUCAACGUGGACGAUCCUGAGUUCACGAACAUCGUGAACAAUAUAAUCGAGGUGGUGGGACCUGCCAAGAACUAUGGCCUCAGCCCUGAAGAGCAGGAGGAGGAGGACAGGAGGCGAGAAAGGGAGAGGCAGCAGAAACUGGCUGAGGAGGCAGCUGAGAGGAAACGCAGGAAAGAGGCCUCGCUAGCUGAGAUUGCAGCGCAGUAUGAAGAAUGGCAAAAGAAUCUGGAAGAGGUGAAGAGGCAGGAACACGAGCUUCUGGAGGCUAAAGCUCUCCCGCUGAGGAACUACUUGAUGAAGUACGUGAUGCCAUCACUCACUGAAGCCUUGCAAGAAUGCUCCAAGAUCAAACCAGAUGACCCUGUCAGCUUUUUGGCUGAGUAUCUACUUCGUAUGGACAAAAAAUGAUAAUGAAACUUUGACAGUUGCGACGUUAGAGAGGUUGAAUUCACAAUUGGAGCAAUCACUGAUGUGAACGCACGUCCUUCCAGCCCUCCACCUGAUCUCGGUGUCUCUCCAGCAGCUGGUUGAGAAGUUUGAUGGACAUUAGGUGGCUCUGCAUGUCACGACUCAGCUGGUUGCUGGUGGCUGUCAGCUUGGUCUGGGCCUGAGAGGCUUGGUCCAGCACCUGAGAGUGGAGGGGGGCGCAUCUAUAAGACGACCACUCCUUUCCAAAAAAUACCAAACUAAGACAAAAUUUAAAUCAUGUUUUCAACCACUGGUUGAUUACAAUAAAACAGUUAAUAGCAAAUAAAAGCAUAUUCUUUCCAAC